This 253-nucleotide ribosomal RNA is filed under the name uncultured bacterium. RNAcentral describes it as "partial 16S ribosomal RNA". It matches the Rfam family "Bacterial small subunit ribosomal RNA", at positions 524 to 776 of the family's 1533-position model. The record is from RNAcentral.
UACGUAGGUGGCAAGCGUUGUCCGGAUUUACUGGGUGUAAAGGGCGUGUAGCCGGGCUGACAAGUCAGAUGUGAAAUCCGGGGGCUCAACCCCCGAACUGCAUUUGAAACUGUUGGUCUUGAGUAUCGGAGAGGCAGACGGAAUUCCUAGUGUAGCGGUGAAAUGCGUAGAUAUUAGGAGGAACACCAGUGGCGAAGGCGGCCUGCUGGACGACAACUGACGGUGAGGCGCGAAAGCGUGGGGAGCAAACAGG